AUUGAACGCUGGCGGAAUGCUUUACACAUGCAAGUCGAACGGCAGCACGGACUUCGGUCUGGUGGCGAGUGGCGAACGGGUGAGUAAUACAUCGGAACGUGCCCAGUCGUGGGGGAUAACGUAGCGAAAGCUACGCUAAUACCGCAUACGAUCUAAGGAUGAAAGCGGGGGAUCGCAAGACCUCGCGCGAUUGGAGCGGCCGAAGGCAGAUUAGGUAGUUGGUGGGGUAAAGGCUCACCAAGCCGACGAUCUGUAGCUGGUCUGAGAGGACGACCAGCCACACUGGGACGGAGACACGGCCCAGACUCCUACGGGAGGCAGCAGUGGGGAAUUUUGGACAAUGGACGCAAGCCUGAUCCAGCCAUUCCGCGUGCAGGAUGAAGGCCCUCGGGUUGUAAACUGCUUUUGUACGGAACGAAAAGGCUCUGGUUAAUACCUGGGGCUCAUGACGGUGCCGUAAGAAUAAGCACCGGCUAACUACGUGCCAGCCGCCGCCGUAA
RNAcentral lists this ribosomal RNA (500 nucleotides) under uncultured bacterium. Its description in RNAcentral is "partial 16S ribosomal RNA". It matches the Rfam family "Bacterial small subunit ribosomal RNA", at positions 30 to 523 of the family's 1533-position model. The record is from RNAcentral.